Non-coding RNA from Burkholderia glumae BGR1, 99 nucleotides. NCBI's taxonomy places the organism in Bacteria, Pseudomonadati, Pseudomonadota, Betaproteobacteria, Burkholderiales, Burkholderiaceae. The record is from Rfam.
CGGCACGCGUCGGGAGAGCGCGCGACGGUUUGUCACCAAGCCAGUUGCGCCGCCGAAGGGGCACACCCACAAACUCUCAGGCAAAAGGACCGAACGCGU